This 1059-nucleotide long non-coding RNA is filed under the name Strigops habroptila (Kakapo). RNAcentral describes it as "lncRNA (ENSSHBG00005002765.1)". Lineage: Eukaryota; Metazoa; Chordata; Aves; Psittaciformes; Psittacidae. The record is from RNAcentral.
UUUUUUUUUUUUUUGUACAAGUGGUUGUUCAUCAAAGCCAGGUCCUGGGUCACCAACAUACAUUGUCUGGAUCUUCAAACAGCUUUGCUGUAACAGCAGACUUCCUUUUACAGCUGUGAACAACAAUGAAUUAAACGAAGCCCCUUUACUCUUUCUCAGUCAUUAAGUCACAUCACCUUUCUACUGCAAAUCAAGCUUGAAACUUUUGUUGUAUGUUGUUAGUGUUGGGUUCACUCUGGUCACACUAGGAAAAAACCACUUGGAACAGAUUUGUUUCACAGAUGAGGCUUGGGAACUCCUAUUUUUUCUUUCCUCACCAAGAAAAAUAUUUUCUUAUUUUAAAAUAUUGAAUUUUAAGCUCAGGAAGUCUUUGAAGCUCAUUUUGGAAGUGACUAAAUUUUUCGCCUUAUCAAUUUAAACAUUGAGAAACACUGAAAAUUUUAGCUGGUCUGUUUUGACUUGCCAGAAUGAAUGGAAAUAAUUAAAAGUUUAUCAAGACUAGAAAUAUUUUGGGGUAAAAGAAAGGAAAGGGUAACAAGUUUAUAAAAAAAAAAAAAAGGUCUAAAGUCAGUGUCUAGGACAGACUAACUGUAAACAAAGAAAAAACUUCAUCUACAGGCUCCAGUGUAUAUUGUUGUCAUAGCCAAUUUUCCCCCAGCUUAUGCAGUUGCAGACAUUGACAUGUGUGUGAUACUUCCCAUCCCAUAGAAAGCUACAGCAGUUUUUUUUCUGUCUCCUAUGGUAUUGGGCUGGAGCAAUAGCUGAGUAAGAAAAUAACAUGCUGAAAAUUGUCUCCUCCCAAAAGGCUUUGAAUUGAUGCUGCAGUAAUUUGAAGCAGUCCCUAUUCUGCAUUUGACAUAGGAGUAGCCUCUAAGGCACCCACCAGAAAUACAGAUUUUUUUGCUUUAAUUAAUAGGUGGUUGACAUUUUUUUACUUAAAUUUUUGUUUUUUUAAAUGAAGAUUGAUCUGUUUCAAGAUUGGGUGUUUGAAAUUUUCUGGGUUCAUGAAUAUAGAGAUAAGGACAUAAACUGUUAAUAAACAUACUGAUUAAACUGGUC